RNAcentral lists this ribosomal RNA (494 nucleotides) under uncultured bacterium. RNAcentral describes it as "partial 16S ribosomal RNA". It matches the Rfam family "Bacterial small subunit ribosomal RNA", at positions 28 to 507 of the family's 1533-position model. The record is from RNAcentral.
GACGAACGCUGGCGGCGCGCUUAACACAUGCAAGUCGAACGGAAAGGCCUGCUUUCCCUUGUGGAUUGCGGGUACUCGAGUGGCGAACGGGUGAGUAACACGUGAGUGAUCUGCCCCCAACUUGGGUAUAAGCCUGGGAAACUGUGUCUAAUUCCCGAUUGGACUGCAGGGUGGUGCCUGUGGUGGAAAACGUUUUUCUUGUGGUUGGGGAUGAGCUCGCGGCCUAUCUGCUUGUUGGUGGGGUAAUUGCCUACCAAGGCGGGGACGGGUAGCCAGGCUGAGAGGGUGGACGGGGCAAUUGGGACUGAGAAACGGCACAGACACCUACGGGAGGCAGGAGAGGGGAAGAAUGAAAAAUGGGCGGAAGCGUGAUGCAGCGAGGCCGAGUGGGGGAUGACGGCAUUCGGGUUGUAAACUCCUUUCGAACGAGAGGAAGCAAACUGGUUGGAAGGGUGGUGACGGUAGUGGUAGAAGAAGCACCGGCUAACUACGUG